This 301-nucleotide ribosomal RNA is filed under the name uncultured bacterium. RNAcentral's name for it is "partial 16S ribosomal RNA". It matches the Rfam family "Bacterial small subunit ribosomal RNA", at positions 509 to 807 of the family's 1533-position model. The record is from RNAcentral.
CAGUAGCCGCGGGAAUACGAAGGGGGCUAGCGUUGCUCGGAAUGACUGGGCGUAAAGGGCGCGUAGGCGGCAUGUACAGUCAGACGUGAAAUUCCUGGGCUUAACCUGGGGGCUGCGUUUGAUACGUGCAGGCCAGAGUGGGGAAGAGGGUUGUGGAAUUCCCAGUGUAGAGGUGAAAUUCGUAGAUAUUGGGAAGAACACCGGUGGCGAAGGCGGCAACCUGGUCCUUGACUGACGCUGAGGCGCGAAAGCGUGGGGAGCAAACAGGAUUAGAUACCCCGGUAGUCCCUGUCUCUUAUAC